Molecule: ribosomal RNA, 406 nt
Filed under: uncultured bacterium
Lineage: Bacteria
Description: partial 16S ribosomal RNA
Rfam family: Bacterial small subunit ribosomal RNA
Source: RNAcentral
AUUGAACGCUGGCGGCAGGCUUAACACAUGCAAGUCGAGCGAGCGGCGGACGGGUGAGUAAUGUCUGGGAAACUGCCUGAUGGAGGGGGAUAACUACUGGAAACGGUAGCUAAUACCGCAUACCAUCAUAUGUGCCCAGAUGGGAUUAGCUAGUAGGUGGGGUAAUGGCUCACCUAGGCGUCGAUCCCUAGCUGGUCUGAGAGGAUGACCAGCCACACUGGAGCUGGGACCAGGUCCAAACUCCUACGAGAGGCAGCAGUGGGGAAUAUUGCACAGUGGGCGCAAGCCUGAUGCAGCCAUGCCGGGUGAGUGAAAAGGGCAUUCGAGUUGUAAAGCACUUUCAGCGGGGAGGCGUUACUCGCAGAAGAAGCACCGGCUAACUCCGUGCCAGCAGCCGCGGUAAUUC